This 508-nucleotide ribosomal RNA is filed under the name uncultured bacterium. RNAcentral describes it as "partial 16S ribosomal RNA". It matches the Rfam family "Bacterial small subunit ribosomal RNA", at positions 28 to 507 of the family's 1533-position model. The record is from RNAcentral.
GACGAACGCUGGCGGCGUGCCUAAUACAUGCAAGUCGAACGCUUCUUUCCUACCGAGUGCUCGCACUCAAUUGGAAAGAGGAGUGGCGGACGGGUGAGUAACACGUCGGUAACCUACCCAUCAGAGGGGGAUAACAAUUGGAAAAAGGCGCUAAUACCGCAUAACAGUUUAUGCCGCAUGGCAUAAGAGUGAACGCCGCUUCCGGGUGUCGCUGAUGGGUGGACCCGCGGGGCAUUAGCUAGUUGGUGUUGCAACGGCUCACCAAGGCCACGAUGCAUAGCCGACCUGAGAGGGAGAUCAGCCGCACGGGGACUGGGACGCGGCCCAGACUCCGACGGGGGUCAGCAGUAGGAAGUCUUCGGCAAUGAACGAAAGUCUGACCGGGCAACGCCGCGUGAGUGAAGAAGGUAUUCGGAUCGUAAAACUCUGUUGUUAGAGAAGAACAAGGACGUUAGUAACUGAACGUCCCCUGACGGUAUCUAACCAGAAAGCCACGGCUAACUACGGG